GCAGUGGCCUUGUGUCAAUUAUUUUGAUGCAUUGGAGUAAAUAUAUAAUUCAACGCACAUGGCUACAUAAAUCCAGCUGAAGCUUAAAAAUAAUGCUGAUUAGUAUCAACACUGUUACUUAGCAGUAUUUCGUACUGUAAAUACAAAGAAAAACAGUAAAAUAAGUUGGAACUCAUCUGUUCACUGACAAAUGCAUGCUCUAAUAAAUAAUGUCGUCUGGCUGAAGUCUCUUUUUUCUGCCGUAGAAAAACAAAUUCAUACUAUUUGUACUUAAUGCUGAUACACUCUGCUCUCUGAAUACUAAGUUGCUAUGUAUUUACAAAUGUGAAAGAACCUGUGGUCCUUUUAUGCAUCAGGUCGUCAUAGAAACUAAUUAACUUUCAUUUCUGUGUCAGGGUAAAGUACUGUAAUACAGAUGUAAAUUGUAGUUCAGGAAUUAUUUGAAUGAAACUAGAAGGAGGAAAGCAUCAAAGUCCUUUUAAAAAAUCCAGUAGAAAUGAGAAAUGCACAACACAUCAUAGCACACAAUGCAUCACAACAUAAUAAAAUGCUAAUAAGGUGGCAGAAAGAGGAUGCUCUACAUCAAUAUGGUACUUGUGGUAAAUAUGUAGAAAGGAGUUCGUAUGUGUGCAGUCCACAAGAUAGUACAAUUACAGCAGUUGGAAUUAUUCAGCUGAUAAAUCAGUUCCAGAAGCUCUGAUUCAGAGGAUUAAGAAGUAGGUAUGUAAUAAGGUGAGAUGCACAUACUGUCCAUGAGCCAAGCUACCAUGUAACCAAGACCAUGGGGGGUUAGAAUCGAUUUUCUUACAGAGCUGUUCUCCAUACUCCAUGGCAAGCUGCUCUUGAAUCUCUUGGAGGCCAGAGCUCUAUCAAGAGGUUAAAAGAUAAGGAGUGACAAAAGAAGACAGAGAGGAGAAAGUUACAGUAGUCAAGAGAUGAGGCAGGAUCAGUGUGUGAACCAUAAUUUUUAACGUGGGGGUGAUUUUGACCAAAACCUGGUGUAGAGGGUGGAGCCAGAGUUGGAACAGCAGCUGAUGCAAGUGCUGAGAUAGGGAGAUCUAGGACUGAUCUGUGGAGUUAUGGAAGAGAAGCAUUAAUCAGCCCCAAAGGGAGCUUUUAGGCCAGGAAAACCCAGAAGAAAGCAGAUGAAAAGGUUCUCUAUGAAAACACUGAGUGAGAGAUGUUAGCAUUUCCUUGACCCAACUUCACUUCAAACCAAAUGCCCCUAAGACUAAAUAGUAAAUUGCAUUUUUGUCCUGUAUUUCCUCUGAGUAUCUCAGAGCAGUAUAAAUAGUAUCCCUUCUCAUUUUGUCCUCGGAAGAACUUUGUACAGAAAGUUAGGCUGAGAGAAGUAGACCUGUCCAAUACAGUGACUGAAUAGGAUUUGAAUCUGGAUCUUUCCAGUAUGUUCCUGACAUUAUGGCUGAAAUUACACCACUCUGACUCCUCUUCCACUCCCACCUACAUGUUCACCUUGUUGUUUCUGCUGUAACAGCUGGUGUAGCUGCAGGAAGUGAGGGGGAUUUAGAAUUCUCAGGAAGAAAACUUUCUCCAGUAUCCUUCAUAAAUCCCUGAUUCAAAUCAAGCCUAGGGAAAUUUGCCCAGGGAAAUUCACCUCCUACGAUUAGGAAUAGAACCCAAGGACGGGGGGCUGAAAACCUAGGCCAUGAAAGGAGUCAGUUAGGAGAGCGUGAUCAGUUUCACAAAAAACAACCUGGAGUUUUAGGAAGGAUGCCAAUGGAGAUAACGGGUGAUUCUGGUGAGGACUGUUACUUUUGCGUGUGUAGGGAACACAAACCAGAUUGAAAGUGAGUGUUAGAAACACAGUUCAAUGCACCCUACACAGUGGGUGGGUGAGUUAGACCUAAGGCAAAAGUCAGGUAGAGAAAGCAGGAGGCAGCUAGGUCAGAUCUCUGACAGUAAUAUUGAAAUCUACAAGAAGUAUGCUUGAAGUAUGUUUAAGGAACUCAUGAUGGCUCAGUCAGUAGAGCAUGAGACUCUUAAUCUCCGCGUUGUGGAUUCAAGCCCCACGUUGGGCAAAAGAUUCCUGCUCUGCAGAAGGUUGGAGCCUCCAGGUCUCUUUCAACUCCACAAUUCUAUGAAUGGGCACAUGGAGUAUGGUGAGAAGCUGGCCCAUGUUUCAGGACUGAAACAAAAGUUGAGAGGGUGCCAGGGAGAUGCAGAAGGGAGUAGAGACUGAUGUUUGAGAAGAAAUCUGUUAGUGGUGGGGUGGGGAGGAUGUUGGGUUGAGCUUGUGGUGGUUGUUUUUUACAGGGGUCAGUACCACUUCCAAGACCUUUAGCAUGAUGCAUGCGGGAGAAAUGAUGUCAAAGAAGAGAACAGCAAUAACUGCAGGGUCAGAGGCAGAGAGCCUGAUUUUGUUGAGGGCAAGGGAAGGGAUUGAGAGAGAAAAGCUUGGUGGAGGUUGACUGCUCUCUGGGAAGAAGAGAAAGGAGGGGAAAUGCAUUGAAUGGGCAUGGGAUUGGAGCAGAGUGUGAGUACAUGUCGUUAUGCUAGAUGCAAACCGCGAGAAAUUUAGGGAUAGUGCAGGGUUGGGUAGACUAGUACGCCCAAGGAAUAAAAAAAGGUCUCAUAGAAAGAGAUGGAAGUUUUGGGAGUCAUAGAUACAGUGAAGUCAAUCUCCUGGAGUAUGUGGGCCUCUCAGUAGCUGUCUCUUUUAGGAAGGCGUACCUCAAGGUAGUUACAAGAGUUAAAUAGGUGGAGUGGAAGGAGCAGCGGCUAGCAGCUGCAAGCUACUUUCUUCUUGAUGCCUUCUCACUGCAGAGUCCAAGGUCUGAAAUCUCCUGGUCACAAACAAGAGAUGUUCUUUAGUAGUGUUUUGACAGCUGCCCAAGACUGGGUUGAGAGACAGUGACAGCAGACAAUGUGUUCUUCGCAUUCCAGAAUAAAAGGAACGAGGGCAGGAGAGACCAGAUGUUAGUUUAUUGAGAAUCUAAGAAUUUAAGAAGUUCCUUGCUGGAUGAGACGAAAGGGCUACCCUGAUCAACGCAAUUGUUCCAAUCUGUAACCAACUAAGUGGCUUUGAAAACCCUUCAUGGCAUGAAGAUUAUGGUUAUUGCCUGUUAACCAAUCAGCUUUUGGUGAAUUUUGUUUCCAGCCGCAUUUUUAGUUCAGUUCUGUGUGGAUUUGCUUUUACUGUGUCGCUGCAAAAUCUGGUAGAGGUGUUAUUCAAACCAGCAACAAGAGCAUUAUUUUUGCUUUACAUUAGUCAAGCAACCAAGAUGAGAAUAAAUAAGUUGUUUAGAAUAAAUAAGUUUAAUGAAGUUGUUUUUAUCAGCAGUUUUUAGCCAAGAGGGGUGUGGAUGAGGCGCAUAUCUGCCUGGACCAUGUGGGUGAAGCAUGAAUUACAGCCCAUGUUCAUUUUCAGAUUGGUAUAGAUGCGAAGUGACUUUAAUAAUUAUAAAUACAAACACUUGGAAAAUACAUUGUGGUGCACGAAGCCACAAGGAUUAUGUUGAAACUUCCCAUAAGGCUAUUUAACAGAUUUCCCCCCUGCAGUAAAAUCCUUUUUCACCUGAUUUAUAGCAUUUGCGACUCUGAGCCCCUGUAUUUUCUCUGAACAAGUUGCACAGUGCACAUAGUAGACAAAGUGUUAAAGAGCUAGGAAAAUAUUAUUUCAUCACUCCUGUUCCAUUAGAAUUCACUUGGGUGGCUGAGAAAAUGGUUUAUGGAUUAGAGAAAGAAGAACAAGCUAAAACAUUUCAUACCUUCAUCUCUGAUAAAUUCCCCAAACUCAUUUUUCGCAUCUGAGCUAUAAAUAACAACCAUACUUUUUGCUAAAAAGAGCUUUUUUCCUAUCCUAGGUCUUUUGUCUUGGAGAUGAAUGCUAUAAUAAAUUUGCAGUCUUGGGGGGAGCAUUGCUUGAACUAUAACAGCAAGGUUUACAACUGUUGCUUGUAUUAUGAGGCAGAUAAAAAACAACUGUGGAGCUUGAUCUUUGUCACGGAAAUGGAUUAAGAUUUCAACCUUCAGCUUGGGUCAAGUGUAUGAUCUUGCCCAAAGCACCCUGCAAUUUAAACACUGUAUGUGCGAUUCUAUUCUUAAACCCAAUUCUUCCCUCUUUAAAUUCUCCCAAGAUACAAAAGUUUGUGGUCUUCUGCAUGGAAUCAAAGGCAGAAAUGUCAUAUAAAAUUAAGAAAUCUGUUUUGGGAGUACAUCUUUUCAUUACUAAGCUGGCUGUAGAUCAACUAUAUUUGGUGACUGUUGGUGACACUUCAUUGAAUAAGUGCUAAGGAAAUGCUUGGAAAUUCAUUCUAGAUUUUUCAGUAGACAGGUUAGUAAACUGACUGCUAUCUUCUUCCAGGUUUGGUGUUUUCACAUGUCAGGAAAUAGGCUUUUGGGAACCCUCUGUUGGACAGAACCAGACCAGUUUUGUUAUGUGCAAGUGCACCUUCGAAAACAUGGUUUAGCAGGACAAUCGUAUGCAUUUCUACUAAAUGCAAGCAAGCUUCAUAGAGUUUGCUGUGACUUGCUCCCAGAUAUGUGUAGAUAGCAUUGCUGCCCUUUUUCUUUUUAGCAGUAGUUAGUUCAGCAUCUGCUCUUAUAAAUGCAUAAUAUUUGCUUUAAAGAUUAAACAAUAACUUUAGUUUCCAUGUUUAACAAAUAUAGGCAAACAUCUUGACUUUGUGUGUUAAUAAACAAAUUAAUUUUUCAUCAUCACCAGAUUCAUUUUUGUGAACCAAAAUACUUUAUCUGUGCAGUAAAAAAAGAUGGUAUAAAACUAUACUGUAUAAUUCAGAUCCUCUUGUAUUUGGCUUGUAUAUGAAAAAACACAAUGCAGUCUUAGCAUCAAAGAUCAUAUGGGAUAGCUAAAGUUCCCCAAAUAUGGGGAAGGGAGGGUCUGUGUAUUUACUAUGGAGCAGUGAUUUGAAAAAUUGAUACUUUUUGUGAACUGUUUUCACAUUUACUUGAUUUCUGAAGAACUCCUGUGUGAGGUAAAGCAUACCAACAGCAUCUUCUGAGGUAGGAUUGUUUUUCAUGAAGCUUUGGUCAGGCCUGCUAAAAAAUGCCCAUGAACUUAGAGUAUCUCCCCAAACACAUAAGAACAUAAGAAGAGCCAAUGGCCCAUACAGUCCACAGUGGCCAACCAGAUGUACGUGGGAAGCCCCAAGCAGGGCAUGAAACAUCCAGCAUUGUAGACAGUGCCUCAGAGGUGAAGACUUGUAAUGGUGGGGAAACUGUCUUUGGGUGAUUAAUAUUUUCCGCACUGCAGUACCUGAUAUGCAACCAAAUUCUCCUUACCAAUACAAACAGCCAAACCUUUCCAGUAUGACAAGAUCACCAUGGGAUAGCUUGGUCACCUGUGUGAACUCCUUCUUAGAAGCAUAUCUUUUUAAUGAGGGGCUAUCCCCCCACCUUUUUUAAAGAAGCUUUUUAUUAAAAGUUUUCAACAAAAAUACAGUAAAAGUCAAACUAGUCUG
RNAcentral lists this long non-coding RNA (5441 nucleotides) under Podarcis lilfordi (Lilford's wall lizard). The stretch from base 1974 to 2031 matches the Rfam family "tRNA", at positions 8 to 63 of the family's 71-position model. Lineage: Eukaryota; Metazoa; Chordata; Lepidosauria; Squamata; Lacertidae. The record is from RNAcentral.